RNAcentral lists this long non-coding RNA (1965 nucleotides) under Homo sapiens (human). RNAcentral's name for it is "non-protein coding PCBP1-AS1:209". Lineage: Eukaryota; Metazoa; Chordata; Mammalia; Primates; Hominidae. The record is from RNAcentral.
AGAAGUCAGCCCUGUGGCAGGAGGCAGAAGCUGGGAUGGGUGCCCACAAAGGAAGCCUUAUUUUCCAAGGCAGCCAGAGAAUCAUGGGUCUGAACUUAUCCCGUCUUCUCAGAUGGAGGACUAAGACCCAGAAAGAGGGAGGAAUUUGUCCAAGCUCUCCCAGUGAGCUGAUGCCAGAGCCAGGACUAGAACUCAGGUCUCCCAAUUCUCAGCACAGUGUGAUUUUCCUUGCAGAAUGUUGAUGCUCAAAGAACAGGAACCCCAGAACCCCAGGGAGGUAAGGAAGAAGAGCACAGCCAGGAUCAGAAGAGUGAAGAAACAAUGAUGUCCCACAGGCAAGGAUGCCCACACAGAAUGACUUUGGGGGGACUGCCAGUUAUUUUGUAUGGAAGGCUGAAGGUAGUGGCAGGAGACUUGUUAGGCCUUGCACUGGUGAGGCUGGUGGGGAACAGAUGUUCAAGGGCCUGGAAAACUGUGCUGAACAGUUUGGGUUUUCUUUCAUAGACCAUGGGGGUGAGGUGGGACUUGAAGGCCUUUGAUCGGGGGACACAUGUGUUUAGAUCUGAAUUUUAGGAAGGCCCCUCAGGUGGCCAGGCUAGGUGAGGUGAGCAGAGGACUUGGUAGUGGAAGGCUUCUCUUGCUGUGACUGCCUAUUUGUAUGUCUGACUGGGCGCUGUCUCACUGGCAGGAGGUGGCAGGCCCAGGGAUGCUGGACAGUAUGUGGUUCACCACUUGGGGUAGCCAAGAGUAGCAAGGGGUGAGGUGGGUUCAACUCACAAACCUGAAGCUCUUGGUAAAUACUGCUUACUUUUCAGGUCACAGGGAGUAAGUAGCUGCUCUAGGGGUGAACCCAAGAGUGGUGAUUCACUGUCCAAACUACUGGCUGGAGGAGAGCUCGUGGUGGUCAUGUACGUGUGUGCAUGUGUGUGUGUCUAUAUUUGAGUGGGGCAAGGGAGGGGAUUGGGGACCGGGGGAGACCAGCCUUCUAAACACAUGAUACAAAUACUAUGGCUAUGACACAACAGGUGUUUGUCAACCUGUUCCAGCUCUUCCCAACUAUGGCAGUGGCUAUGGCCUAACAGCUGGAGGCAGGAACAGGGCAGUGACAAGAAUCAGCAACUGCAUAGGGGCCUCAUCAAUUUCCAGUCCUCCAUCCAGAAGAGGACAGGACAUGCUCAAGCUGCCCCAAAGAGAAAGGACAAAGGAGAGGAAUUCUGAGAUGCAAGUCCCUAUGGAAGAGGGGACAGAGUUAAAUUCCAGCAGUCCAACAGACUAUGGCUAGAGCCAUAGUCUUCUCUUACCUGUAUCUUUAACGUUCAGCUUACUAUUGGUUCCUUAUUAUCUCCUGUUAGUGAGGUUCCUUUCAAAAACAAUAAAACAAAACAAUAUUUUCCCGCUCAACUGCUCAACUUUUUGACUUAAUUUUUUUUUUUUUUUUUUGAGACGGAGUCUCGCUCUUUUGCCCAGGCCGGACUGCAGUGGCGCUAUCUCGGCUCACUGCAAGCUCCGCCUCCCGGGUUCACGCCCUUCUCCUGCCUCAGCCUCCCAAGUAGCUGGGACUACAGGGGCCCGCCACAGCGCCCAGCUAAUUUUUUGUAUUUUUAGUAGAGACGGGGUCUCACCGUGUUAGCCAGGAUGGUCUACGAUCUCCUGACCUCAUGAUCCGCCUGCCUCCGCCUUCCAAAGUGCUGGGAUUACAGGCGUGAGCCACAGCGCCCGGCCAACUUUUUGACUUAUUUCUUUUCCUCCUUUGCACCAUCAAGUAUUUGAGCAGUGGACACCCUUGCCUCCAUUUCCUCACCCACUAUGCCCUCCUCUCCUCCUGCAAACUGGUUUCCCCGCAUCACUCUUCUGAAAUUCUGCUCCCCAAACAUACUCAUUCCAGUGAAAUUGUCUUCCCCAGAAUUCCUUUGGUGUCUGAAAGGACUGGGGAGAAAGGAUAAAAAAACUAUUAAGAUUGGCUGG